RNAcentral lists this unclassified non-coding RNA (377 nucleotides) under uncultured bacterium. RNAcentral's name for it is "contains 16S-23S intergenic spacer region". The record is from RNAcentral.
UCCGGUUUAUCACCGGCAGUCCCCGCAGAGUCCUCGGCAUCACCCGUUAGCAAUAGCAGGCAGGGGUUGCGCUCGUUGCGGGACUUAACCCAACAUCUCACGGCACGAGUUGACGACAGCCAUGCAGCACCUUGUUUUGUGCCCCGAAGGGAAGCCACCUUUCGGCAGCGGUCACUCACAUUCAAGCCCAGGUAAGGUUCCUCGCGUAUCAUCGAAUUAAACCACAUGCUCCUCCGCUUGUGCGGGCCCCCGUCAAUUCCUUUGAGUUUCAGCCUUGCGGCCGUACUCCCCAGGCGGGGUACUUACUGCGUUAGCGACGGCACCGGAGGGGUCGCUCCCCCCGACGCCUAGUACCCAUCGUUUACGGCGUGGACUAC